RNAcentral lists this ribosomal RNA (253 nucleotides) under uncultured bacterium. RNAcentral describes it as "partial 16S ribosomal RNA". It matches the Rfam family "Bacterial small subunit ribosomal RNA", at positions 524 to 776 of the family's 1533-position model. The record is from RNAcentral.
UACGUAGGGUGCGAGCGUUGCCCGGAUUUAUUGGGCGUAAAGGGCGCGUAGGCGGCUCGGCACGUCCGUUGUGAAAUCGCCCGGCUCAACUGGGCGGGGUCAGCGGAUACGGUCGAGCUUGAGCAAGCUAGGGGGCAAUGGAAUUCCCGGUGUAGUGGUGGAAUGCGUAGAUAUCUGGAGGAACACCGGUGGCGAAGGCGGCAUCCUGGACCGAGAUUGACGCUGAGGCGCGAAAGCCAGGGGAGCAAACGGG